RNAcentral lists this ribosomal RNA (468 nucleotides) under uncultured bacterium. RNAcentral describes it as "partial 16S ribosomal RNA". It matches the Rfam family "Bacterial small subunit ribosomal RNA", at positions 28 to 507 of the family's 1533-position model. The record is from RNAcentral.
GACGAACGCUGGCGGCGUGCUUAACACAUGCAAGUCGAACGGAAAGGCCCUGCUUUUGUGGGGUGCUCGAGUGGCGAACGGGUGAGUAACACGUGAGUAACCUGCCCUUGACUUUGGGAUAACUUCAGGAAACUGGGGCUAAUACCGGAUAGGGGCUCCUGCUGCAUGGUGGGGGUUGGAAAGUUUCGGCGGUUGGGGAUGGACUCGCGGCUUAUCAGCUUGUUGGUGGGGUAGUGGCUUACCAAGGCUUUGACGGGUAGCCGGCCUGAGAGGGUGAACGGCCACAUUGGGACUGAGAUACGGCCCAGACGCCUACGGGAGACAGCAGUGGGGAAUAUUGCACAAUGGGCGGAAGCCUGAUGCAGCAACGCCGCGUGCGGGAUGACGGCCUUCGGGUGGUAAACCGCUUUCGCCUGUGACGAAGCGUGAGUGACGGUAAUGGGUAAAGAAGCACCGGCUAACUACGUG